RNAcentral lists this ribosomal RNA (411 nucleotides) under uncultured microorganism. RNAcentral describes it as "bacterial SSU rRNA". It matches the Rfam family "Archaeal small subunit ribosomal RNA", at positions 330 to 745 of the family's 1478-position model. The record is from RNAcentral.
GCGCACCAGGCGCGAAUACUUUACAAUGUGCGAAAGCACGAUAAGGGAACUCUGAGUGCCUCCUACGGAGGCUGUUCAGGUGCCUAAAACACACCUGAAGGAAGGGCUGGGUAAGACCGGUGCCAGCCGCCGCGGUAACACCGGCAGCCCAAGUGGUAGCCACUUUUAUUGGGUCUAAAGCGUCCGUAGCCGGCCAGGUAAGUUCCGUGGGAAAUUUUGGCCGCUUAACGGUCAAACUACCAGGGAAUACUGCCUGGCUUGGGACCGGGAGAGGGCAGAGGUACUCCAGGGGUAGGGGUGAAAUCCAUUAAUCCCUGGGGGACCAUCGGUAGCGAAGGCGUCUGUCCAGACCAGGUCCGACGGUGAAGGACGAAGGCUAGGGGCGCGAACCGGAUUAGAUACCCGUGUAGU